ACCACAGAUAUGCUAGCCUGGUUGACACCAGACCCUUCCCCGUUGUAACUGAGAUUGGGUCUGGGGAAGGUUCAUUCACAGCACAUUUCCAAAGGGGCAUCACAAACAGACGCCGCUGAAAUGCCUCUGGGCGCAACUGGAUAGUCCUUUAACUAAUCAGGCCGACGAUCCAGGUGAUGUAGCAGCGACAGCAGCAUCAACGGGUUGCUGCGCUUUGGUGGCCAUCAUGUUGAAUGUAAACAAAAA
This is a long non-coding RNA of Etheostoma spectabile (orangethroat darter), 246 nucleotides long. RefSeq lists it as uncharacterized. NCBI's taxonomy places the organism in Eukaryota, Metazoa, Chordata, Actinopteri, Perciformes, Percidae. The record is from RefSeq and is a predicted model, not a curated record. The transcript is spliced from 3 exons.